UUUCCCAUUUAUUUGCUGCUAUAGUCUUUCCAGUGACAUGAGCAGUUAUACGCAUGGGAUAAAAUAACAUCAGGCCACUGUGAAUGGAGGUGGAACAACCUUUCAAUCUCUUUUGCAUGCAUAGUCUAGACACUG
Molecule: small nucleolar RNA, 135 nt
Organism: Phyllostomus hastatus (greater spear-nosed bat)
Lineage: Eukaryota; Metazoa; Chordata; Mammalia; Chiroptera; Phyllostomidae
Product: small nucleolar RNA SNORA20
Exons: 1
Source: RefSeq, a predicted model, not a curated record